CGACAGGAGAUGAAGAGAAAGUUUGGUGUCAAAAGACAAAGAAUUGUGGACCAUGUGCCUCUGGAGGACCCACCUGGACAUCAGAGAGCAAAAAAGUGCAGAGUGGGGGUCCAGAUGUCUUCUGAUUAUGAGCCAACACAAGAGAUUAUGUUGGACCUUGAAGCAGUUGGGGAGGACUACCACAGCUUUUAAGAGCAUAUAAACGCCAUAAACAAUUAGUUGUGCCGUCGUCAGCCAGAUAUUAGUCAUAUAAUGGACAGGACGAGGCAAACUGUCUAUAAGAGGGUAGAGCAAAUGGGAAAGCCAACUGAGGAGGUGAUGGAGAUGUUCCCAUUUCUUUGGGUGUCAGAGCUGAUGCAUCAUGAAAUGAAGUUGCGGUUCGGACUGGACUUAGAGCUAAGCCUGCAUAACACCCUCAGUAUAUUGACCCCUAACGUCAUCAGAGUGGCUGACAGUAGGAGUCAGAGGGAGAGGCUGUCAAGCCUACGAGACACUAACACAGAUGACCUUCAAAAAAGUGCUGCUGUCCUAAUUUUGCCUGCCCUUUUCAAGGAGGAUGCCAAGUUUCUGUAGUGUUUAGACAAGAAACCACUGAGCGUGUUUCCAACCAUCAUCUUCCAGGGUGGCGAUACUCCCCUCUUUGCCAGGAGAGCAUCCAUAAAGAUGGAUGGCAUCACAAUAGCAAGUGGAGAGAUGGAUGCCCUCCAAUGCCUGCUGUAUUACAUCUUUGGUGUGGAGUACCACAUGCAGAUUAAGGACACACUGGCUUUUACAGAGCAUUAUUUGUUCAAGAUACCAAGUCAAAAAAGAGUGUCGACUCCUGUUUUGAGACUUUACAAUCAAAUUUGCUAGUCUUCGUUAAUAUUACCUUUUAUUAUAUUAUGUAUUUAAUAAAUUUGCUUGAUUAUGUCUAAA
This is a long non-coding RNA of Alosa sapidissima (American shad), 915 nucleotides long. RefSeq lists it as uncharacterized. The record is from RefSeq and is a predicted model, not a curated record. The transcript is spliced from 6 exons. Lineage: Eukaryota; Metazoa; Chordata; Actinopteri; Clupeiformes; Clupeidae.